UACGUAGGGGGCAAGCGUUAUCCGGAUUCACUGGGUGUAAAGGGAGCGUAGACGGCCAUGCAAGCCUGGAGUGAAAGCCCGGGGCCCAACCCCGGGACUGCUCUGGGAACUGUGCGGCUGGAGUGCGGGAGGGGCAGGCGGAAUUCCUGGUGUAGCGGUGAAAUGCGUAGAUAUCAGGAGGAACACCGGCGGCGAAGGCGGCCUGCUGGACCGCGACUGACGUUGAGGCUCGAAAGCGUGGGGAGCAAACGGG
Molecule: ribosomal RNA, 253 nt
Filed under: uncultured bacterium
Lineage: Bacteria
Description: partial 16S ribosomal RNA
Rfam family: Bacterial small subunit ribosomal RNA
Source: RNAcentral